RNAcentral lists this transfer RNA (649 nucleotides) under Leptolyngbyaceae cyanobacterium EY07-AM2. RNAcentral describes it as "16S-23S ribosomal RNA intergenic spacer". The stretch from base 323 to 395 matches the Rfam family "tRNA". The record is from RNAcentral. Lineage: Bacteria; Bacillati; Cyanobacteriota; Cyanophyceae; Leptolyngbyales; Leptolyngbyaceae.
UUAGGGAGACCUACCCACUUAGAGAGGGAGUCGGGAGUAGGAAGUAGGGAGUCGACACUCCUGAACCUCGCUCUUCAAAUUUAUCCCCCUCCUAAGUUGGUCAUCCCAAGGUCGGUCGAGGAUUGGUGCUUGGCUUCCAAACUAAAGAGGUUCGAUUUUAUGGGCUAUUAGCUCAGGUGGUUAGAGCGCACCCCUGAUAAGGGUGAGGUCCCUGGUUCGAGUCCAGGAUGGCCCACCUUGAGAAGGGGAAAGGGAAAAGUAAAAAGGGAAGAAAUUGAUUCCACCUUUUUUACAUUUACCUUUUCACUUUUCACUUGAAUUGGGGGGUUUAGCUCAGUUGGUGGAGCGCCUGCUUUGCAAGCAGGAUGUCAGCGGUUCGAGUCCGCUAACCUCCACUGGGCGGUAGCUGAUAGCGGUUAGCUAUCGGCUAUUAAGCCGCAAUGGGCACCGGAAUUGCUCUAGCAACUUGUCUAGGGAGACUAGAGAGUCUGCUGGAGUUGAAUCCAGCCUGAACCUUGAAAACUGCAUAGAAACUUGUCAGGUAGAUGAAUUGUUUAGGGACUAGCGGCUAGUUGUUCGUCGAAUGAGGGUCAACCAAGCCACUAACUACCAACAACAGUCAUCACAGACACCAAUGAACUUUGUAAGU